RNAcentral lists this ribosomal RNA (503 nucleotides) under uncultured bacterium. RNAcentral describes it as "partial 16S ribosomal RNA". It matches the Rfam family "Bacterial small subunit ribosomal RNA", at positions 30 to 523 of the family's 1533-position model. The record is from RNAcentral.
AUUGAACGCUGGCGGCAGGCUUAACACAUGCAAGUCGAGCGGGGUGAUGGUGCUUGCACUAUCACUUAGCGGCGGACGGGUGAGUAAUGCUUAGGAAUCUGCCUAUUAGUGGGGGACAGCAUCUCGAAAGGGAUGCUAAUACCGCAUACGUCCUACGGGAGAAAGCAGGGGAUCACUUGUGACCUUGCGCUAAUAGAUGAGCCUAAGUCGGAUUAGCUAGUUGGUGGGGUAAAGGCCUACCAAGGCGACGAUCUGUAGCGGGUCUGAGAGGAUGAUCCGCCACACUGGGACUGAGACACGGCCCAGACUCCUACGGGAGGCAGCAGUGGGGAAUAUUGGACAAUGGGGGGAACCCUGAUCCAGCCAUGCCGCGUGUGUGAAGAAGGCCUUAUGGUUGUAAAGCACUUUAAGCGAGGAGGAGGCUCUUUUGGUUAAUACCCAAGAUGAGUGGACGUUACUCGCAGAAUAAGCACCGGCUAACUCUGUGCCAGCCGCAGCAGUAA